CGUCUAUAUACGUAUAGCAUAUCAAUAAGCGGAGGAAAAGAAACUAACAAGGAUUCCCUUAGUAACGGCGAGUGAAGCGGGAAGAGCUCAAAUUUGAAAUCUUCAAGGUUUUACCUUGACGAAUUGUAGUUUAUAGAAGUGUUUUCUGUUAGUGGAGUUUGGUAAAAGUUCUUUGGAAUAGGACAUCAUAGAGGGUGAGAAUCCCGUAUUUGAUCCAUUAUCUCCUAGCGUUGUGAUACACUUUCAAAGAGUCGGAUUGUUUGGGAAUGCAGUCCAAAAUGGGUGGUAAAUUUCAUCUAAAGCUAAAUACUGGCGAGAGACCGAUAGCGAACAAGUACCGUGAGGGAAAGAUGAAAAGAACUUUGAAAAGAGAGUUAAACAGUACGUGAAAUUGUCAAAAGGGAAGCGUUUGACACCAGUGUUGUUUUUCCGAAAAUCAGUUACGAAUGGUUUGAUUUCUGAGUAGUGAUGACCUUCAUCAGCUUUCCUUCAUCUUCUUCCGAGUCUUUUGUAAUGCACUUUUCGUCUAACAAGUCAACAGUCAAUUUCUUUUGUUGUAAAAGAGUAUUCGGAAGGUGGCUUUCUUUUCGGAGAAAGUGUUUAUAGCCCUAUACUUCUACAAUCGGAGAGAUUGAGGUCUGCAGCGUAGAUCCUUCGGGGUUAGAUACACUUGUGCUAAGUUAUAGCUUUCAUAGACAACUUGCUGACUAUGAUUAGUCAUGUCGCUUACUCGCUUAUGCUAUUUUACCUACGCUUAGGAUGUUGACUGAUAUGUAGUCGU
RNAcentral lists this ribosomal RNA (781 nucleotides) under uncultured Neocallimastigales. Its description in RNAcentral is "partial large subunit ribosomal RNA". It matches the Rfam family "Eukaryotic large subunit ribosomal RNA", at positions 26 to 643 of the family's 3401-position model. The record is from RNAcentral. Lineage: Eukaryota; Fungi; Neocallimastigomycota; Neocallimastigomycetes; Neocallimastigales.